GACGAACGCUGGCGGCGUGCUUAACACAUGCAAGUCGAACGGUGAAGCGCCUUCCUUUUUGGUGGGUGUGGAUGAGUGGCGAACGGGUGAGUAACACGUGAGUAACCUGCCCCCUUCUUCUGGAUAACCGCAUGAAAGUGUGGCUAAUACGGGAUAUUCUGGGUCUGUCGCAUGAUGGGUCUGGGAAAGAUAUUGUUUCGGUGGGGGAUGGGCUCGCGGCCUAUCAGCUUGUUGGUGGGGUGAUGGCCUACCAAGGCGGUGACGGGUAGCCGGCCUGGGAGGGUGGACGGUCACACUGGGGCUGAGACACGGCCCAGACUACGACGGGAGGCAGCAGUGGGGAAUAUUGCACGAUGGGCGGAAGCCUGAUGCAGCGACGCCGCGUGAGGGAUGGAGGCCUUCGGGUUGUGAACCUCUUUCGCCAGUGAAGCAGGCCUGCCUCGUUUGUGGGUGGGUUGACGGUAGCUGGAUAAGAAGCGCCGGCUAACUACGUG
RNAcentral lists this ribosomal RNA (494 nucleotides) under uncultured bacterium. Its description in RNAcentral is "partial 16S ribosomal RNA". It matches the Rfam family "Bacterial small subunit ribosomal RNA", at positions 28 to 507 of the family's 1533-position model. The record is from RNAcentral.